AGAUGGGAGAAAUCACGCCAAUGGCGGAUGCCUUGGCAGUUUGAGCCGAAGAAGGACGUGUGCACGAGCACGAUACCGACGAUGAGUCCUUAAGCAGACAUUACUAAUCGUCGAUUUCCGAAUGGAGUAAUCCCUCUACUAGCAAUAGUGGAGAUCCUUUGCACUUGUGUAGAGGAGGGGAACCCUGGGAACUGAAACAUCUCAUUACCAGGAGGAAAAGAAAUCAUAUGAGAUUUCGUUAGUAGCGGUGAGCGAAAGCGAAGAAGCCCAAAUCAACACCUUCGGGUGUUGAGUGUUGCGGGACUACAAUAUUCCAAGCUCUAUUGAUAAAAGAAUGGCAUGGAAAGGCCAACCAAAGAUGGUGAAAGUCCAGUAUUUAAAAUCAAAAGAGCAGAUAGUAGUAUCCCAAGUACCACGGGACACGGAAAACCCUGUGGGAAACCGGGUCGGUCACGAUCCAAGGCUAAAUACUCAAACUGACCGAUAGUGAACUAGUACCGCGAGGGAAAGGUGAAAAGUCCCCCGGAAGGGGAGUGAAAUAGUACCUGAAACCAUUGGCUAACAAACAGACAAAGCUUGUCCUUUGGACAAGAAGUUUAAAGUGAAACGUGAGAAAGUCUAAAGUUAAAUAAAUACAUUUAUUACUUUAUGAACUUUUAAUCUUAUAUACUUUUAAACUUCUCGCCCAGAGGGCGAGUAAUGUCGUGCCUAUUGAAGAAUGAGUCAGCGAGUUUUCUAACAUGUGCUUUAUGUUUAACCAAGUUGCUCUUGGGAAGGCAAAGCGAAAGCAAGUCCGAAUAAGGCGUCAUGCACUGUUGGAAAGACCCGAAACCAGGUGAGCUAACCAUGGACAGGAUGAAGCUAAUCGAGAGAUUAGUGGAGGUCCGCACCCGUUGCCGGUGAAAUGGCUUGGGAUGAUCUGUGGUUAGUGGUAAUAUGCCUAUCGAACCUGGAGAUAGCUGGUUCUCCCCGAGAUAUAUUUAGGUAUAGCCUCUUGAAUUAUUCCAUGGGGUAGAGCGACUGGAUAAAGCAUGUGGGAGCAAUCCUACCUGUUUUGACCAAACUCCGAAUACAUGGAUGUUAUCAAGGGAGUCAGACUCGCCCGUAUAAGCGGGUGUGGUCGAAAGGGAAACAGCCCAGACUUUCGUCUAAGGUUCCCAAAUAUCUGUUAAGUGGAAAAGGCCGUUCUGUUUCCAAUACAGCAGGGAGGUUGGCUUAGAAGCAGCCAUCCUUUAAAGACCGCGUAACAGCCCACCUGAAUACCCCUCGCUUUAUGUGAGGGAGGAAAUAUUGCGCCGAAAAUGAUCGGAGCUCAAACAGAUUACCGAAGACAGAGAUGCUUGUGCUUUGCACAAGAAUUUUCAAAUAUCUAAUUUCUAAAGGAUCAAGCAAAUAUUUAAUAUAUAAAUAUUCAAAUUCUAAACAUAUUUGUUUUUUAUUUGAUGUUUAGUAUUUAUUUGUGAAUUAGAAUUUAUGUAAAUUGGAAAUUCUCGCGCAGAGCGCGAGCGUGGUAGGGGAGCGUUCUUAUUGCCUUGAAGCUUCACUGUAAAGUGGGGUGGAGUGGUAAGAAGUGAGAAUGCUGACAUGAGUAGUGAUUCUCCCGAUGAAAACUCGGGAUGCCGAAUACCCAAGGUUUCCUCAGCAACGCCAAUCGUCUGAGGGUUAGUCGGAUCUAACCGCUCACUGUAGUAGGUGAGGGGGAUGUACAAGCAGUUAAUAUUCUGCUACUUUUAAUACCGCGUUAUUACUUUUGCACUGACGAAAUAUGAUAUACAAGGCUUUCUAUAUGAGAGUCUAAGUAACAAGUCCGUCCUUAAUUCGUUUUGGAUGUAUAAGUUACGAAUGCAAUCGGCCUUUUGGCUGAAAGCUUGUUACGUUGUGUUUCCGGGAAAAGGUGCGUAAAGGAGUUGUAUCAAAAUCCGUACCGCAAACCGACACAGGUGGGUAGGUCGAGUAGACCAAGGCAUACGGGUCAUGGUAGUUCAAGGAACUCGGCAAAAAAGCUGAGCGUAAGUUUUGCGAUAUGCUCUUCCUAACUUGUUCUUCGAACAAGAAUGUUCAAUGAUCAAUUUCUAAUGAUCAAGCAAUAUCCAAUAUAUUAAUUUUCAAAUUCAUCAAUUAUAUUGAUUUUUAUUUGAUAUUUAGUAUUUGUUAUUUGUUUGUUACUUAGGAUUUUGUAAAUUGGAAAUUCUCGCUCGGAGAGCGAGCUUAGGACACAGCAAAUGUUUGUCAACCGACUGUUUAGCAAAAACACAGGCUCCUGCAAACCAGAAAAUGGGACGUAUAGGAGCUGAGGCCUGUCCGGUGCUGGUCAGUUAACCAUUGGGGUUGAUCUCCAACACGUAAGUUUUGGAAUGAGGCUCUGGUGUAAGCUCCAGUGAACGACAGCUCUAACCCUGAGAGUUCUAAGGUAGCGUAGCCCCUUGCCGGGUAAGUUCCGGCCUGCAUGAAUGGCUUAACGAGUUGACAACUGUCUUGAACUAUUGCCCGACGAAAUUGAAAUGGCCGUGAAGAUGCGGCCUACCUGCACUAGGACAAAAAGACCCCGAGAGCUUUACUGAAACUUGACAUUGGUGCGAGGAUAUAAACUGUCGAGAAUAGGAGGGAGCCCUCCGAAUAGGAGGGCAACAAGUGGAAUACCUCUCUUUUAUAUUCUUUCACCUUAUCUUUACUAUGAGGAAACAGUGUUAGGUGGUCAGUUUACCUGGGACGGGUCCCUCCAAAAGAGUAACGGAGGGGCGCAAAGGUUUGCUUUCUCCGGAUGGAAAUCGGAGUGUAUGUGUAUACGCAUAAGCAAGCUUGACUGCGAGAGUGACCACUCGAGCAGGUGCGAAAGCAGGCGUAAGUGAUCCCCCAUUCCGCUGUGAUUGCGGAAGGGGCUUAACGGAUAAAAGCUACCUCGGGGAUAACAGGCUAGUCUCCCCCGAGAGUCCACAUCGACGGGGAGGUUCGGCACCUCGAUGUCGGCUCAUCACAUCCUGGAGCUGUAGUCGGUUCCAAGGGUUGGGCUGU
This 3012-nucleotide ribosomal RNA is filed under the name Candidatus Woesebacteria bacterium. RNAcentral describes it as "partial 23S ribosomal RNA". It matches the Rfam family "Bacterial large subunit ribosomal RNA", at positions 1 to 2580 of the family's 2925-position model. The record is from RNAcentral. Lineage: Bacteria; Candidatus Woeseibacteriota.